RNAcentral lists this ribosomal RNA (492 nucleotides) under uncultured bacterium. RNAcentral's name for it is "bacterial SSU rRNA". It matches the Rfam family "Bacterial small subunit ribosomal RNA", at positions 37 to 518 of the family's 1533-position model. The record is from RNAcentral.
UGGCGGCGCGUCUAAGCAUGCAAGUCGAACGGCAAGAGGUAGCAAUACCUCCUAGAGUGGCGGACUGGUGAGUAACACGUGGGUGACAUACCCUUCAGAUGGGGAUAGCUAUUAGAAAUAGUAGAUAAUACCGAAUACGAGCACAGGGGUUAGAGAUCUGUGAGGAAAGGAGCUAAGGCUCCGCUGAAGGAAUGGCCUGCGGCCCAUUAGCUAGUUGGUGAGGUAAGAGCCCACCAAGGCGAUGAUGGGUAUCCGGCCUUAGAGGGUGAACGGACACAUUGGGACUGAGAUACGGUCCAGACUCCUACGGGAGGCAGCAGCUAAGAAUAUUCCGCAAUGGACGAAAGUCUGACGGAGCGACGCCGCGUUGGAUGAAGAAGGCCGGAAGGUUGUAAAAUCCUUUUGAAACUGAAGAAUAAGCGUUGUAGGGAAUGACAGCGUGGUGACAGUAGGUUUUGAAUAAGCAACGGCUAAUUACGUGCCAGCAGCCGC